This 514-nucleotide long non-coding RNA is filed under the name Rhagoletis pomonella (apple maggot). RNAcentral describes it as "uncharacterized LOC118756092". The stretch from base 425 to 470 matches the Rfam family "Histone 3' UTR stem-loop". The record is from RNAcentral. Lineage: Eukaryota; Metazoa; Arthropoda; Insecta; Diptera; Tephritidae.
AUCCGAUUCUGCUAAUGUAGAAGAGGAUGAUACGCCUGACAUAGAAAUCACGCAGCCUCCGCUUACAAGUAUUUUGCUGAAAAACUUAAGCUCUAAUGCAGAACUGUGGCCGGUUGAAGAAGCGGAAUUCGAGGAUUUGGAGCUAGACGGACUCGAGCAUUUAGCGGGAUAUAUUUGCCACAAGCUGCAGGAUGACAUUCCCAGCACGUCGUUCAGGAGCAAUGACGACCAUUCAUUCUCCUGGGCGGAUCACCUUAAUGAGGCAUGAAUCAAUGUCCGCAUUUCACACGCACUGAUCUCAGUAUUUCAGACUCCUAAAAUUAAAAUACUUGCAUGCUACGUAAGUCCCUAGUUUUAAAAAAUCAUCAAGCGUCUUUUAUACAAAUAUAAACUUAUUUAUUUGCAGGCAAGUAAUAUGAUUUAUACAAAGGCCCUUUUCAGGGCCGCCAAUUAAUUAACAAAGAGAUUAAAAUUUUAUGCUUAGAUAAAUACAUAUAUACCAAUCAACAAGAGG